GAUGAACGCUGGCGGCGUGCCUAAUACAUGCAAGUCGAGCGAACGGACGAGAAGCUUGCUUUUCUGAUGUUAGCGGCGGACGGGUGAGUAACACGUGGAUAACCUACCUAUAAGACUGGGAUAACUUCGGGAAACCGGAGCUAAUACCGGAUAAUAUUUUGAACCGCAUGGUUCAAACGUGAAAGACGGUCUUGCUGUCACUUAUAGAUGGAUCCGCGCUGCAUUAGCUAGUUGGUAAGGUAACGGCUUACCAAGGCAACGAUGCAGAGCCGACCUGAGAGGGUGAUCCGCCACACUGGAACUGAGACACGGUCCCGACUCCUACGGGAGGCAGCAGUAGGGAAUCUUCCGCAAUGGGCGAAAGCCUGACGGAGCAACGCCGCGUGAGUGAUGAAGGUCUUCGGAUCGUAAAACUCUGUUAUUAGGGAAGAACAUAUGUGUAAGUAACUGUGCACAUCUUGACGGUACCUAAUCAGAAAGCCACGGCUAACUACGUG
This 497-nucleotide ribosomal RNA is filed under the name uncultured bacterium. RNAcentral's name for it is "partial 16S ribosomal RNA". It matches the Rfam family "Bacterial small subunit ribosomal RNA", at positions 28 to 507 of the family's 1533-position model. The record is from RNAcentral.